Molecule: non-coding RNA, 142 nt
Filed under: Actinomycetales bacterium JB111
Lineage: Bacteria; Bacillati; Actinomycetota; Actinomycetes; Actinomycetales
Also listed under: 1 other name
Description: FMN riboswitch aptamer (RFN element)
Rfam family: FMN riboswitch aptamer (RFN element)
About the family: The RFN element is a highly conserved domain that is found frequently in the 5'-untranslated regions of prokaryotic mRNAs that encode for flavin mononucleotide (FMN) biosynthesis and transport proteins. This element is a metabolite-dependent riboswitch that directly binds FMN in the absence of proteins.
Source: Rfam by way of RNAcentral
ACGUGCUCCGGGGUCGGUGAAAAUCCGAACCGGCGGUCAUAGUCCGCGACCCUCACGGCGACGUCGAACGUUUCGUCACCACGAGGUUGAACCGGUGGAACUCCGGUACCGACGGUGAAAGUCCGGAUGAGAGGAAGCACGG